UCUACCAACGAGAUAAACAUUUUGAAAAUUAUUGAAGUUGACAGAAAAGCAUAAAAUUCUCAGGUCUAAAUGCCUUUAGUUUCAAAUGAUUUAUUUGCUAACCAAAAGACAUUCUUACAAUGUGAAGUAUGUGUACCAUGCCAUUUGCCAAAGUACAUAUAGGUAUCACCGUUUGAAGUAUGUCUUAGGGCUCAAAAUUAACAUAUAUGCCAGACCAUAUUUAAAAAUGUUUGUUUCCCCUCUUCCGAAUCUAAAUUUCAGAGUUGGUAGGUAAAAAGCUUUUUCUUUUAGCCAGCAGAAUUUUAUUUCAUAUGAAUCCCCAUGACCAUCAACAGAGCCCGAUACCAAAACGUCAUGAAGCACAUCAUUCCACGUUUCCUCGUCAAACUUGUAAAGUCGGUUCUUGCAUUAAGUUCUGCAUUUAGCAAUUAGGGGAAGGUGUUGAUACUUUAGACAGUACUACAUGUAUUUCAGAAAUGCUCAUUAUCUAACCACUGAACAUAGACAUAUUGUACAUUUAAAACGGUUGAUUCUACGAACACUCGGGUUUCAUCGGAUUUAUUCUGCUAUUUGUGCCAUAAAUAAAAGUCAGGUAGAAUGUUGUAAUUAUGGGCAAUAGUGUUGUUAUUUCGGACACAUGGUGUUAUAACUUCGGACAGUAAAUUCGGUUGCUGUUUAUUUUGUGGUUCACUGGCAUUUCAUGCUUUUGUUUUUGCACAUUACAGGGAUUAAAAUUAACCCCUAAAAUUAAGUAGUCAAACGGGCUACCAACUUUCAAAUUUCACCAGCCCAGAAUGAGAUCUACUAGCCCAUAUAACGAAGUACACAUUUUGUCAGAAAUAUUCACUUUAUUAUUUAUUAUUCACUGCAUGUACUGUAACUCGUGUUCCAUUUCCUUUUUCAUGCUUGGGGAACGUGCAAAACAUGCCUAGCUCAUCGUCUAACUCAACCACGGUCGGUUUUCCUUCCACGAAAUUUGGAAUUUUCUCUUUCUUGUUAGUUCAUAGUUUAUAUUGUAUUCUCUCUUUCGUUUAUUUGUGGGAUUGGGAGCCUUUAUCCCUUCAAUAAAUCCCCACAUGGCACAUGAUGCUUUUCGGAUUUUCCUAAUUGGGCUAAUCUUCGCCCAUGUGCGACUUAACUAACAGGAAACAUAUCACACAGCGUAAAUGUAGAUACCCAAAUGCACUAUCUAAAAAUUCCGUAACAUUACUACAUAACACACCUUGUUAAAAAAAAAUCGUACAGAGAUUUGCCAAUUGUAUUUUUUUUUUUUUUUAAUUUAAAAAGAUAAUAAACACAAACUAUGAUUUCAAUGAGAAACCGAAGGGGAGGGGGGGGGGGGGGGUGUGAAAUCAAAAUAAAACAGAUUUUACCUGCAAUCUGUUCUUCUGUUAGUUGAUCUGCCUGAAAAAUAUGUAAGUCGAGACAUGAUUUAUUUGCUCUGAACCAAUCACUCACCAUAUUUGACAGCUUUUAAAAUAUGUCAUUCACAAUAGUAGACACGUCAUUUAAUUUUUUCCUUGCAUGUUUGCUCUAGUACACCACUCCCACGAUCUGCCUACAGCAGUUGACUAAAUCUAAUGAGUCAGUUAUUGCGAUACAUUUUGUAAGUCUAAAUUCUGGUUCAAAGCAAUCACAGUGACACUAGAAUCAUUCUUGCAAUUUAAAGCAAGUUAAUUAAAUGUAUCACAAAUUUGAGUAUAAAUUUGAGGUGUGUGUGCAGAGUUUGCAACAUAUGAAAUAUUUUGAUGACACAUUAAAAUCAGCAGCAUGUUUAAGGCAAGGUCUGAAAAAUAAAAGGUCAGUGGAAUACACCGAGAUAAUGAAUCUUGGUCAACAAGAUGCCUUGUGGGCUGGUAAUCUAAUAAUAAAUUCAGACCAAGCGUUUUAUAAUAAUUAUGUAUCAUCUCAAAAAAUACAAUGUUGUACUGUUUUGUCUUUAUUAAAAAGUGUAUUCAACCGUCAUUGGUGACCUGGUUAGUAACUAAAGAUUGUUUUUAUGAAAAAUACAAAUGUUUCCCUAAAUUGGAACUGCUCCAAAUAAAAUCUCAACCCCUUAAUGUACUGCAUGGUAUGGGUGAGAAAGCAAGGGCAGGAACAUAGACAUUAUGAACUCCUAUAAGCAAUCGGGGUUUGACUUUAAAUUUUUUAAGUACCAGACCAGUCAGGCUACUUCAAAUUACAUUUACUAGACCUGACCUUACAUCCACUAGUCCUGACCACCUUACCAGAAAAAAACUAAUAGCUUCUCCAUACUUAACUCAAUGACAAACAUCAAGUUUAAACUAAAACAUAUAUUUUGUCUCAUUAGAAAAUAGUCGUUAGUCUCAGUCAUCAUUGAUGCUUAUUUUAAAACAACAUUUUUUGUUCUUCUCAGAAAUUCUUCAGUCAAUUUAGAAUAAGACCUCAACCAUUUUAUUUAUUUCUGUUUCAUAUCUGCUUCCCUACCUUUUCCUUUUUUCUCUAAGGACAUCUUUCUGUGAGGAUGAGACGUCGUAUUUGAAUACUAGAGACAUUCCCGCACACAUCAACACCGAAAAAUGGCUGCUUAUGGUGCAAUUUAUUUAUUUGAUAAAACUUUCUUACAUUUAAUUCAAAUGAACUUUUUUAAAUCAAAAGAUUUCAGUUUAUAUCUAUCCAAAACAAAAUUUUACACAUUCACAUUUUUAAUUAGCAACGAGUAGAAGUUGUAAAAAUCACCUCCAAUGUCAAUUUAUUUAUUAGAAUAAAUAGAGAUUAAUUUCAGUCAUCAUGCAGUUUAAAAGUGUUUAAAAGUUUUUACAUUUUUCCCCCCAGUAACGGUUCAAAGGGUAAAGUUUCUUGUUUAUUUUUUCAACAUGACCGGUCACAAUAGUAAACUGAUAUUUUACCCUAUCGGGCCCAUCAUUUUAUGAUUCAGGAGACUCGGUAGAUUGAACAUGCCUUAGAAGAAGUGUUCACAAAUUAUUCUACAUCCUCCACUCCUCAGAUCCACUUUAACUUAAAGGAUAACAAUUGGAUCCUCCUCUCUCAACAUCUACAAAUGUCAAUGAAACAUUGUACAGAGUUUCAAGUCUAUCUGAUAAGCCAUAUUCACUGUUCGAAACUGGUUUAAAACUCGGUAUAGACCACAAGUCUAUGACAAAACAAGAUGACAUAGAUCUCAUCGAAUUGACACAGACCCGGUCGGACCGUAACAUUGAAAAAAUAACAAAUUCAAAACAUUUUUAUUUACAUCUAAUGUAUUUAGAAAGCAUAUUUUCUUUCCAUUUCCAUAGCAAUAUCCUCUUUUCCUCAUAAUAUUUCUCAGACGUCUCUAGAAAAUCUGCGUAGACAAUUUGGUUCAUCAAUAACAAUUGGCAUAGACCAUUGUCAUUUGAUAUAGACUCGGUCUAUGGUUAAUUUCUAACACUGCAUAUUAUAUUGGAGCAGAAACGUUCAAAAGAUUUUGUGAUAGACAGAAACAAUACCCCCCCCCCCCAAGGAAGAAGGGAGACAUAAUUUAUCAUCUGGGUUAUCUUAAUGAAAAUCCCAACUCAUGACCCCAAUUUUAUUGAGAUAUCAGUUUUAUGAAUGGUCACAGCUAUCUUAUGUUAGGUUUUGAUAUAAAAGCAUAUCUCUGUACCCAGUGUUGACAAAUUUGUGUCAUGUUGCAUACCAAAAUAUUUUACUAAUAUUUGAUUCUAGAGCAAAGGAUGAUCUAUAACUUUUUUCAUUCUUAGUAACACAUUGCAAACAAAGAUAUUUCUAAUGUUGAUUUCAAGAACGUUGCUGAUUCAAAUGCUGUCAAAGGUAAAACUUAAGCUAGAACACAGAAGGUGGUAGACCAGGAAGAAGAAAAAACAGAUGACAUAGAUUAUUAAUCAAGACAAUAAACAAACCAAAGAUUUUCAUUCCUUAUCAAACAAGAGGUACUGUGAGCAAUGCUCACUAAGAAUACCCCCCGCUUACCCCAAUCUCCCAAAGGGUGUUGGUAAUAGGUAUAAACUACCUCUUUUCUGAGUGUAAAAAACAAAUGGCAUGACAAACCGAACUAUAUUGCUACUUCGAUGUCCAGUGCGCGUGACCUUUGACCUUUUGACCCCAAAAUCGAUAGGGAACAUCUUCAUCCCAUGGGUAGUCCAUAUGUAUGAUAUGGUGACGGUAGGUGGAAAGGAUAACGCUUUAGAGCCCGGAAACCAUAUUGCUACUUCGAUGUCCAGUGCGCUUGACCUUUGACCUCAAAAUCGAUAGGGAACAUCUUCAUCCCAUGGGUAGUCCAUAUGUAUGAUAUGGUGACGGUAGGUGGAAAGGAUAAUGCUUUAGAGCCCGGAAACCACUGCAUCUACAGAUGGACGGACGGACAACCCGAUUCCAGUAUCCCCCCCCCCCCCCAACUUGUUGCGGGGGGUAUAAUAAUAAAUCAUUAAGUGACAAAACACAGGAUUAUACUCAAUCUAAUUUUUUAGACAUCUAGUAUUACAGUGUUUGAAAUUAACCGUAGACCAUUAGACUGAGUCUAUGUCAACUGACACUGGUCUAUGCCAAUUGUAAUUGAGAUAGACCAAAUUGUCUAUGUCAAUUUUCUAGAUUUAGUGCAAUAAAGUUAUCCCAAAGGACCUUGCAUGUUCAGCCGACGUCUGAUAAACGCUAUGAGGAAAGGAUAUUGAAAUGGAAAGAAAAUAUGCUUUCCAAGUACAUUAGAAAUAAAUGAAAAUGUAUUAAAUUUGGGUUAUUUUUUUUCAAUGUUGUGGUCUAUGCCAAUUCGAUGAGGUCUAUUUCAUCUUGUUUUCACAUAAACCAGUGGUCUAUACAAAGUUUUAAACCAAUUUCGAACACUGGUAUUAAAUCUAAACUUUAGUCUGGUCAAUUUUUUGUAUCAAAUGAACAGGUAUCCAGUAAUUUUACCCAUAUUUUUAAAACUCUUUAAUAUUUAAUACUCAUUCAUGUUGAUCGCAGAAUACUUUACAGAUAUGCUGAUACACUAUGAGAUUGUCAACUGUCUUGCACCAUUCACAGGUCUCUUUAAAUGUACAGAUAUAAAAUGACAUGUGUACAAGGUUAGAGUCCUAUUAAAUACAAAAAUAAUUGUUUUAAUGUUAACAUAACACUGUUAGUUAUAUAUGGAUUGCUGCUAAAAACAUUUAACUAAAUUUUGUGAAUUUAUUCUAAUUCCCCUUUGGCAAUCCAGGAAGUAUCCAAGAAUAUCAAUACCUUUAUCUGGUCCAGUCCAAAGACGUAGCUAUUAAUAGCUACCUAGGUAUUUAAACCUACUUAAAGUAGCUAAUUCUACCUACUUUUACCCGUUUUUAAAAAUAUAAAUAAAUAAUAAUUAAGGCGCAUCUUUUAAACAGGUCAGUCGUUUUAUGUAUCAUGUUGUGCAUGUGCAUGGCAAAAUUCGGAGUGUAAAUUUAAUACUUUAUGAGGGUGGAGAAUGUAUAGGAAAUGCAUGAAGGUAAACUUUAAAAUUAAUAGAUUUGCAAGACAUUCUAGACUUUUUAUCACGUAGCUUUGAUCCCAAGCUCCUAGAAAAUGGAACUGGGUGCAGUUAUUGAUGCAUAUAUGAAAGGUUAAAAAGUAAUCAUUUUUUUCUCCCAAUAUUUUUGUGGUAUUCAUCAUCAGUGGAAGUGAAUGAAAAAAAUUGGUAUACACCAUAUUGCGCCAUUCCUGCAUUUGGCCACGAAAUGCAAGUAAAGGAAAAAGUAGGUAAAAAUAGCUACCUGGAGUAGGUUUAAGUACCAAGGUAGCUAUAAGUACCUACGUAGGUAGAAAUAGUCUUUGGACUGGACCUGUUAUCCCCAUAAAACAACAUACUAAACAACAAUAUACAAAGCAAUGAUUCUAAAAUGUCAAUUACUUGAAUCAGAAUAAAUAAAAUGUCAAGUACUUGUACAACAAUACACAUUGUGCAUGUUCAUUAGAGAAUGUUACAUAGACCCUGUAGAAAUAGUCUUUGGGCUGGACCUGUUUAGUGUUUCCCCCAUAAAACAACAUACUAUUACUAAAAUAACAAUAUACAAAGCAAUGAUUCCGAAAUAUCAAUUUCUUGAAUCAGAAUAAUUAAAAUUUCAAUUACUUGUACAACAUUACACAUUGAGCAUGUUCACUAGAGAAUGCUGCAUCAACUUGGAAUUUCGGGAGAGUGCAACUCGUAAGCCUACCACUUGUCAUGCUGAUGUAUGAUCUAUUAAUUCACAAUUAGUUUAUUGAAAUUAGUGUUCGCGACCAACAUACACUGUUUCUGAUGUUCUUGUCUGUUCUAUAGUUAAAUUCAUAAUAAAUCUAACAGACGAAGUGAGUUAGCUCUCCAUGGACUAUAGUAGUCGUCAUGAAUGUAAACAUUUCAUUGCCGGUUGUUCUGUGUCAACCAUGAAAAUCCAAAAAAUAUUCGCAGUAUUCAAUAUACAAGUCUCUUCCACCAUAAUAUUAACUAAAUGGUGGCUCGAUGGCUAAAAUUUACAACUUACCAUAGCGGAUACAGUAGAAAAUAAAGCGGCAACCCGACAAUCGUCGUGCAGAUGAUGAGCUCAAUUGAUGGUGUAUCCC
This is a long non-coding RNA of Ostrea edulis (European flat oyster), 6504 nucleotides long. RefSeq lists it as uncharacterized. The transcript has 2 exons. NCBI's taxonomy places the organism in Eukaryota, Metazoa, Mollusca, Bivalvia, Ostreida, Ostreidae. The record is from RefSeq and is a predicted model, not a curated record.